AGUCAAUAGAUACCCAGGUAGUCCACGCCGUAAACGAUGAGUACUAGGUGUAGGAGGUAUCGACUCCUUCUGUGCCGCAGUUAACACAAUAAGUACUCCGCCUGGGAAGUACGGUCGCAAAGAUUAAAAACUCAAAGGAAUUGACGGGGGCCCGCACAAGCAGCGGAGCAUGUGGUUUAAUUCGAAGCAACGCGAAGAACCUUACCUAGACUUGACAUCUCCUGAAUAGUGUAGAGAUACAUGAAGCCCUUCGGGGCAGGAAGACAGGUGGUGCAUGGUUGUCGUCAGCUCGUGUCGUGAGAUGUUGGGUUAAGUCCCGCAACGAGCGCAACCCUUAUUACUAGUUGCUACCAUUAAGUUGAGCACUCUAGUGAGACUG
This 379-nucleotide ribosomal RNA is filed under the name uncultured bacterium. Its description in RNAcentral is "bacterial SSU rRNA". It matches the Rfam family "Bacterial small subunit ribosomal RNA", at positions 775 to 1151 of the family's 1533-position model. The record is from RNAcentral.